GGUUAUGCCGUUGAUUGUCUUCGACAUAACGAUUCAACUUAUGUUCGGCAUUAACAUUCAACAUAAAUGUUUAUGCCGUUGAAUAUAUUCGGCAUAAACAUUCAACUUAGAUGUUUAUGCCGUUAAAUAUGUUCGGCAUAAACAUUCAACUUAGAUGUUUAUGCCGUUGAUUCUGUUGAAAGGUUAUGCCGAUGACAAUCAACCGCAUAACC
Non-coding RNA from Paramuricea clavata, 212 nucleotides. NCBI's taxonomy places the organism in Eukaryota, Metazoa, Cnidaria, Anthozoa, Malacalcyonacea, Plexauridae. The record is from the annotation of a GenBank genome assembly.